UCUCUACCAAAAAUACAAAAAAUAGCAAGGUGUGGUGGCGAGUGCCUGUAUUCCCAGCUACUCAGGAGGCUUAGUGGGGAGGAUCGAUUGAGUCAAGGAGCUUGAGGCUACAGUGAGCUAUGAUCGCAUCACUGCACUCCAGCAUGGGUAGCAGAGAAAGACCCCGUC
Sapajus apella (tufted capuchin) is the source of this 168-nucleotide long non-coding RNA. RefSeq lists it as uncharacterized. The transcript has 2 exons. The record is from RefSeq and is a predicted model, not a curated record. NCBI's taxonomy places the organism in Eukaryota, Metazoa, Chordata, Mammalia, Primates, Cebidae.